This is a long non-coding RNA of Bos taurus (domestic cattle), 704 nucleotides long. The record is from Ensembl. NCBI's taxonomy places the organism in Eukaryota, Metazoa, Chordata, Mammalia, Artiodactyla, Bovidae.
GUGAGGCCCAGGCUCCUCAGGAACCUGGCUCCUGCCUGCGUGCCCCGAGCACGCUGGCCCGACCCUUACCCGACAGUCCCCAGGCUCAAAGAGCCAUUUUACAUCUGCAGGGCACCCAGGGCAGGGCCAAUGUGAGACCACACUGUCCAUCCUUCUGCACCCUGGCUCUAUCACAAGGGACAGACAGAAAAGCGUUGGGUGGGCCAAGACAAGGGCCUGAGGUUGGACAGGCUGACUGGGUGGCCCCCAGAGGAAACAGUAUCUAGCAGAGUCCUGGGGGCUGGAGACUUGAGAUCUAGAAGACAAUUCUGGUUGUGCUUAACUCAAGGGCAGAGGGACAGUCCUGCCCAGCUAGGCAGUGGCAUCUUUUCUUCCACAGGACCAGGGCACCCAAGCUGGCCCAGACACUGGAGGACACGUGGGGGGCCCACAGUGUUGGGCAGAGGCAUGGACAGGUGUCCAGAGAGGCAGCGAGAAUGGGCAGAGACCCCACACCUGUAUGGUUGCAAAAUCUCAUGGGGGAGACCUUGUGGUUCAGGGUGCUUUGCUCCACAUCUGAAGAACUGACAGCUCCCUCCCAUGGGCGUGAACCUUCUCCUACCCACAUGUCCACUCAACACCAGGUUUUCCUAUGGCUGCCAACACAGGAAAACUAGGAAAGGGGUCCAUACAAAACAAGAAAAGAGAUGUCUUUGCUUUCACAG